CGGAGGAAAAGAAACCAACAGGGAUUGCCUUAGUAGCGGCGAGUGAAGCGGCAAAAGCUCAAAUUUGAAAUCUGGCGCCUUCGGUGUCCGAGUUGUAAUUUGAAGAUUGUAACCUUGGGGUUGGCUCUUGUCUAUGUUUCUUGGAACAGGACGUCACAGAGGGUGAGAAUCCCGUGCGAUGAGAUGCCCAAUUCUAUGUAAGGUGCUUUCGAAGAGUCGAGUUGUUUGGGAAUGCAGCUCUAAGUGGGUGGUAAAUUCCAUCUAAAGCUAAAUAUUGGCGAGAGACCGAUAGCGAACAAGUACAGUGAUGGAAAGAUGAAAAGAACUUUGAAAAGAGAGUGAAAAAGUACGUGAAAUUGUUGAAAGGGAAGGGUUUGAGAUCAGACUCGAUAUUUUGUGAGCCUUGCCUUCGUGGCGGGGUGACCCGCAGCUUAUCGGGCCAGCAUCGGUUUGGGCGGUAGGAUAAUGGCGUAGGAAUGUGACUUUACUUCGGUGAAGUGUUAUAGCCUGCGUUGAUGCUGCCUGCCUAGACCGAGGACUGCGAUUUUAUCAAGGAUGCUGGCAUAAUGAUCCCAAACCGCCCGUCUU
RNAcentral lists this ribosomal RNA (588 nucleotides) under Meyerozyma guilliermondii. RNAcentral's name for it is "partial 28S ribosomal RNA". It matches the Rfam family "Eukaryotic large subunit ribosomal RNA", at positions 51 to 655 of the family's 3401-position model. Lineage: Eukaryota; Fungi; Ascomycota; Pichiomycetes; Serinales; Debaryomycetaceae. The record is from RNAcentral.